AUGCUGCUCCAGGAAAUCAAAAAUGAUCGUGGUGGAGAAGACCCAAACCAGAAAGUAAUCAAUGGGGUUAUCGACUCCUUUGUUCGUGUUGAACAGUAUAAGAAAAAAUUUUCCUUAAAGUUUUAUCAGGAAAUAUUUGAGUCCCCCUUUCUGACUGAAACAGGAGAGUAUUAUAAAUAAGAAGCUUCAAAUUUAUUACAAAUACCAAACUGUUCACAGUAUAUGGAAACGGUUCUAGGUAGAUUAAAAGAGGAAGAAAUUCGAUGUCAAAAAUACUUAAAUGUAAGUUCAUAUACUAAAGUGACACAUGAAUGUCAGCAACGAAUGGUAGCAGACCACUUACAGCUCUUAUAUGCAGAAUGUCACAAUAUCAUUCUACAAGAGAAGAAAAAUGACAUGGCAAAUAUGUAUGUCUUACUCUGUGCUGUGUCCACUGGUUUACCUCAUAUGAUCCAAGAGCUGUAAAACCAUAUCCAUGAUGAGGGCCUUAGAGCAACCAGUAACCUUACUCAGGAAAAUAUGCCAACUCUAUUUGUGGAAUCAGUUUUGGAAAUUUGUUCAACUUAUUAACACCGUAAUAGUGAUCAGCAUUUCACGAGUGCAUUGUAUAAGGCCCUUACAUCAUUUGUAAAUUACAGAGAACCCAAGUCUGUUUGCAAAGCACCUGAACUGCUUGCUCAGUACUGUGACAACUUACUAAAGAAAUCAGCAAAAGGGAUGACAGAGAAUGAAGUGGAAGACAAACUCACAAGCUUCAUCAUGGUUUUCAAGUAUAUUGAUGAUAAAGAUGUUUUUCAAAAGUUCUACGCAAGAAUGCUGGCAAAACGUCUAAUUCAUGGGUUAUCUAUGUCUAUGGAUUCUGAAGAAGCCAUGAUCAAUAAACAAAAGCAAGCCUGUGGUUAUGAGUUUACUAGCAAGCUACAUCAGAUUUAUACAGAUAUGAGUGUCAGUGCUGAUCUCAACAAUAAGUUCACCAAUUUUAUCAAAAAUCAAGACACAGUAAUAGAUUUGGGAAUUAGUUUUCGAAUAUAUGUUUUACAGGCUGGUGCAUGGCCUCUAACUCAGGCUCCUUCAUCUACAUUUGUGAUUCCCCAGUAAUUAGAGAAAAGUGUACAGAUGUUUGUAUUAUUUUACAGCCAGCAUUUCAGUGGAAGGAAACUGACAUGGUUACAUUAUCUGUGUACAGGUGAGGUUAAAAUGAGCUAUUUGGGCAAAUCAUUCAUAGCCAUGGUCACAACAUACCAAAUGGAAGUCCUUCUUGCCUUUAACAACAAUGAAAUGGUCAGCUAUAAAGAGCUUCAAGACAGCACUCAGAUGAAUGAAAAGGAACUGACAAAAACAAUCAAAUCAUUGCUUGAUGUGAAAAUGAUUAACCAUGAUUCAGAAAAGGAAGACAUCGAUGCAGAAUCUUCAUUUUCAUUAAAUAUGAACUUUAACAGUAAAAGAACAAAAUUUAAAAUCACUACAUCUAUGCAGAAAGACACCCCACAGGACAUGGAGCAGACUAGAAGAAGUGCUGUCGAUGAAGAACAGAAAAUGUAUCUCCAAGCUGCUAUAUCGUAUCAUGAAAGCACGAAAAGUGCCUCCAUAAUUUGGUCAUUCGGCAGCCUCUGUUUUUCUGCUGUUUACAACAUCACCAGUGCCACGUCAUGA
RNA transcript from Nycticebus coucang (slow loris), 1653 nucleotides. It is a transcript of the gene named cullin-2-like, with no coding region annotated. The record is from RefSeq and is a predicted model, not a curated record. Lineage: Eukaryota; Metazoa; Chordata; Mammalia; Primates; Lorisidae. The transcript has a single exon.